RNAcentral lists this long non-coding RNA (221 nucleotides) under Sorghum bicolor (sorghum). Its description in RNAcentral is "long non-coding RNA (SBIC_LNC017452)". Lineage: Eukaryota; Viridiplantae; Streptophyta; Magnoliopsida; Poales; Poaceae. The record is from RNAcentral.
UGAUGUUGGAGAGACCAAUGGAUUGUGAAGAUGUUGCAUAUGAGCAUGGAGUAAAUGAAGUGGCUAUGAAAUAAAUUCCAUGCUCAUUAAUGCUUAGAGUGAAAUCCAUGUGGUAUGGUGAAAGUGAUAAGGUGAGUGUGGUAAAAAAAAGGAAAAGAAAAAGGAUACACGGACGACUUGGUUCGAAACUAGCACAGCUACUGUUCCCCGGCAACGGCGCC